UACGGAGGGGGCUAGCGUUGUUCGGAAUUACUGGGCGUAAAGCGCACGUAGGCGGAUCAGUUAGUCGGGGGUGAAAUCCCGGGGCUCAACCCCGGAACGGCCUCCGAUACUGCUGGUCUGGAGGAUGGGAGAGGCGAGUGGAAUUCCGAGUGUAGAGGUGAAAUUCGUAGAUAUUCGGAGGAACACCAGUGGCGAAGGCGGCUCGCUGGCCCAUUUCUGACGCUGAGGUGCGAAAGCGUGGGGAGCAAACAGG
Molecule: ribosomal RNA, 253 nt
Filed under: uncultured bacterium
Lineage: Bacteria
Description: partial 16S ribosomal RNA
Rfam family: Bacterial small subunit ribosomal RNA
Source: RNAcentral